AAACUGAUCGUUCCCGUUCACUGCUUCCUGCCCUGAUAUCUGUUGGACUUCUGGGGUUAUUAAUCAUAAUAUUAGCAUUUGUGUGGAUUUGGCUGAAAAAGCAAAAAGUGUCUGAAACUGAGGAACUGACUUACACUGAUGUGAAAAUUUCAGCUCACAGUGCAGAGAGAGUUAAAGAGGAAGAAAACUCGAGAAUAACGCCUGUUGAAGCAGAGCCUGACUCAGUGGUGUAUUCACAUGUGAAGUGAUCCAUAUAAUUCAUCACAUCACAAUAUCCUUUUAAUUAUUUUCACGAGUUGUGCUGAGAAAUCCUGCAGGGUUGGGGCAUGUCUUCAGGCAUCAGUGUUUAAUAUUAGUGUAAUAUUUGCAUGCUGUCAUUAUAUAAUCAUG
Long non-coding RNA from Neoarius graeffei (lesser salmon catfish), 390 nucleotides. RefSeq lists it as uncharacterized. NCBI's taxonomy places the organism in Eukaryota, Metazoa, Chordata, Actinopteri, Siluriformes, Ariidae. The transcript is spliced from 3 exons. The record is from RefSeq and is a predicted model, not a curated record.